This 1056-nucleotide long non-coding RNA is filed under the name Mytilus galloprovincialis (Mediterranean mussel). The record is from RNAcentral. Lineage: Eukaryota; Metazoa; Mollusca; Bivalvia; Mytilida; Mytilidae.
GCUUUGUGUAACCUAUAGACAAAUUCGACUGUAUAUAAGGAAGUGAAUAUGUUUACUCUGAUUUGAAACUAUCUUAUAGAACUUGUUUUAUAAUUGAGAACCUAUUUGUUUAUGGGUAAUAGGUGAAAUGUUGCAUGACCCAUCAAAAUGACAGCAAACGCAGUUUUCCGGACGAUUUUUAUUUGUACACUGUUAAAAACUGACAAUCAUGUGAAACGGACGAAGAUAUAUUCUAACAGAAGUACAAAUACCAGUCCUCCCUUUUGUGUAUACAUAUGAGAAAACAUUUCAAAGUUAUUAAUUGAAUUCAAAUCCAUCACACAUACGGUACACAUUGUAUUCCGAAACAAGAAUGUGUCCAAAGUACACGGAUGCCCCACUUGCACUAUCAUUGCACUGGCAUUAAAAUUAGAAAGAUCAUACUAUAGGGAACAUAUUUACUAAGUUUCAAGUUGAUUGGACUUCAGCUUCAUCAAAAACUACCUUGAACAAAAACUUUAACCUGAAACUCCCACUUUCAUUUUCUAUGUUCAGUGGACCAUGAAAUUGGAGUCAAAAGUCUAAUUUGGCUUUAAAAUUAGAAAGAUCAUAUCAUAAGCAACAAGUGUACUAAGUUUCAAGUUGAUUGGACUUCAGUUUCAUAAAAAACUACCUUGACCAAAAACUUUAACCUGAACGGACGGACGGACGCACAGACGGACGGACGAACGAACGGAGCCACAGACCAGAAAACAUAAUGCCCCUCUACUAUCGUAGGUGGGGCAUAAAAAUAAAGGACUUCAUUCCUAUCAAACACCUUUUUAAUUGUUUAAACCAGUAUAUUUCUUUUAGUUUUGGGUAAAAUUGUAAAGGAAAUAAUACUACCAAGACGUCCUUCCAUAAACCUUCUUUUUCUGUUCUGACUCUGAAGAAAUGACUUCUUUUCACCCAAUCGAAAUGGUGCAUGGACAUAUUUUGUUUCAUAUUAUUAGAAUUAUUUUCAAUAUUAUCGGUAUUAAACUUGAUUAUCGACACAUGAAAGUCUGUCAGCAUUGUCAAUCUUUUUAACGUUAAAGU